CAAUAGCGUAUAUUAAUGCUGCUGCGGUUGAAACGCUCGUAGUUGGACUUUGGGAUGUGAAGCGAGAUUGACCUUUGGGUUUUAUCUUUUUAGCUAUAUGUCCUAAUGCCGUGAUCUGCUUCUUCUUUUCGGAGGGGGAGCGAUUUCGGCCGGUUACUUUGAAGAAAUUAGAGUGUUCAAAGCAGGCCAACGCCUUGAAUACAUUAGCAUGGAAUAACAUAAUAGGACUUUGGUCUUGUUUUGUUGGUUUCCGGGACUAGAGUAAUGAUUAAUAGGGACAGUUGGGGGCAUUCAUAUUUGGUUGUCAGAGGUGAAAUUCAUAGAUUAACCAAAGAUGAACUACUGCGAAAGCAUUUGCCAAGGAUGUUUUCAUUAA
RNAcentral lists this ribosomal RNA (376 nucleotides) under uncultured eukaryote. RNAcentral's name for it is "partial 18S ribosomal RNA". It matches the Rfam family "Eukaryotic small subunit ribosomal RNA", at positions 592 to 976 of the family's 1831-position model. The record is from RNAcentral.